This 468-nucleotide ribosomal RNA is filed under the name uncultured bacterium. RNAcentral's name for it is "partial 16S ribosomal RNA". It matches the Rfam family "Bacterial small subunit ribosomal RNA", at positions 28 to 507 of the family's 1533-position model. The record is from RNAcentral.
GACGAACGCUGGCGGCGUGCCUAACACAUGCAAGUCGAACGGAAAGGCCCUGCGUUUGUGGGGUGCUCGUGUGGCGAACGGGUGAGUAACACGCGAGUAUCCUGCCCUUGACUUUGGGAUAACUUCAGGAAACUGGGGCUAUUAUCGGAUAGGAGCUCUUGCUGCAUGGUGGUGGUUGGAAAGUUUCGGCGGUUGGGGCUGGACUCGCGGCUUAUCAGCUUGUUGGUGGGGUAGUGGCUUACCAAGGCUUUGACGGGUAGCCGGCCUGAGAGGGUGACCGGCCACAUGGGGACUGAGAUACGGACCAGACUCCUACGGGAGGCAACAGGGGGAAAUAUUGCACAGUAGGCGGAAGCCUGAUACAGAAGCGCCGCGUGCGGGAUGACGGCCUUCGGGUUGUAAACCACUUUCGCAUGUGACGAAGCGUGAGUGACGGUAAUGGGUAAAGAAGCACCGGCUAACUACGUG